AAUAUAAAGUUAUACUCUUUAUCAAAUACAGUUAUAGACAUAUAUUAGGUUAUGUUUAACAUCAUAUAUUAUCGUAUUGCUGAUUUUCUGAGAGGAUCAGAGACUGUAUGUUUCUAACAUUUCAUCAAACCUUUUCUAUAAAUCAGUUUAAUCUGCUGCAGAAAUAAAGAAUAACUGGAGCUGUGCCGUGAGAUUUCAACAUGUUUCCAGGAACUAGGAACCUGUUUUAUGUACAAUCGCUGCACGGCUGCAAGAAUUCUCUUCUAAUGAUGAAACAACCAACAUGUGAAGCCUGAAGCAGCAGAAACUCAUUAAAACACAUU
Long non-coding RNA from Etheostoma spectabile (orangethroat darter), 323 nucleotides. RefSeq lists it as uncharacterized. The transcript has 2 exons. The record is from RefSeq and is a predicted model, not a curated record. NCBI's taxonomy places the organism in Eukaryota, Metazoa, Chordata, Actinopteri, Perciformes, Percidae.